GAUGAAGAACGUAGCGAAAUGCGAUAAGUAGUGUGAAUUGCAGAAUUCAGUGAAUCAUCGAAUCUUUGAACGCACAUUGCGCCCCUUGGUAUUCCAUGGGGCGUGCCUGUUCGAGCGUCAUUUGUACCCUCCAGCCCUGCUGGGUGUUGGGCGUUUUGUUCCGCCGCGCGCGUGAACUCGCCUCAUAUGCAUUGGCAGCCAGCCGUCCCGCGUGGGAGCGCAGCACAUUUUGCGCUCUCCGCUGGGUGCGGCGGCGUCCACAAGCCUAUACCUUUACGCUUGACCUCGGAUCAGGUAGGGAUACCCGCUGAACUUAAGCAUAUCAAAAGCGGAGGA
Molecule: unclassified non-coding RNA, 336 nt
Filed under: soil metagenome
Description: partial contains 5.8S ribosomal RNA, internal transcribed spacer 2, and large subunit ribosomal RNA
Rfam family: 5.8S ribosomal RNA (bases 1-120)
Source: RNAcentral